Pelodiscus sinensis (Chinese soft-shelled turtle) is the source of this 899-nucleotide non-coding RNA. The record is from RefSeq and is a predicted model, not a curated record. Lineage: Eukaryota; Metazoa; Chordata; Testudines; Trionychidae.
AAGUGAAGAUGGGUAUAUAAUCCACUGAAUUAAACAAUCACAUGAGACGAGUAUAGCCUACAACUUCAGCUCUAUAGGAAUAAGAAGCAGAGUGGACUUUUCAGUACAGCUGUGGACUGACCUUAUUGUCUUCAGAUGAGAGGUUUUCCAUACUUCACUCCCCAUCUCUAAACACAUAUUAUCCACAAUAUCCUUUAUGGGAUAGGACAAGUGGUGUUGCAAACAAUAUUCCAGCAUUCAUCACUGGAUGCAAGAGAGUUGACUACAACUUAACUUGAAGAAGACAGAACUGUUAUUUGUCAGGCUGAACACGUCUCUCCUGCUUGUGCUACAGAUGACCUCCUGCUCUUAAGUCCAAGCCUUCCUCAUCAUAUACUUUUUCCACUUGUCACAGUGGCCCACAAUGAAUAUGCAACACACUUUCUUGUAUUGUACAAACAACCUCCACUACUCUCAGUACAUACACAACUUGUACUGCUUGAAGAUUGAGCAUUCAGGUUUCAUAGUUUUGCAUCAUAUGGUCUGUGAGAAGGAUACAGAAUCCUUGGUGUGAUAGGCAGAAAGUGCAGAGUCCUUGGGGCAGAGUUCUUUUCUGCUGGAAGAGUUCCAGGAAUAUCUUCACUCAAUAAAUAAUCAAUAAUCAUCAGCAUAAAGGAACUGCACUGAUAAAACCUAGCUGAGGAUCUGAUACAAGCUUUGACACAUUUACCUUUAAAAGCAGAUUGAUAAAGGUUUAUUAAGUGUUAGAACAAAUGAUCUUCCUCAUAAAUUUCAAGAAAACAUGCUAAUUUGACAUGCUUGGGUUGACAUAAGAGCUGGUCAAAAAUAAUUGAUGGAACAGUUUUCAGCAAAAAAUACAGUUCCAUUGAAAUCAAAACAUAUUGUGGGAAUGUGUAAAU